UGGAACUAAUACAUAACUUCAGUAAAGUUUCAGGAUACAAAGCAAUAUACAAAAAUCAGUAGUAUUUCUAUAUACUAAUAAUGUUCAAGGUGACAGCCAAUAAAACAUGCAAUCCUAUUUACACUAACCAGCAAAAAAAUUAAAAUAUCUAGAAAAUCAUCUCUCCAAGGAGGUGAAAGAUCUCUACAAGGAGAACUACAAAACAGUGCUGAAAGAAAUCAUAGAUGACGCAAACAAAUAACAAAAUAUUCCAUACUCACGAAUUUGAAGAAUCAAUAUUGUUAAAAUGGCCAUACUGCCCAAAGCAAUCUACAGAUUUAGCACUAUGUCUAUCAAACUACCAAUGUCAUUUUCACAAAAUUAGAAAAAAAACUAUUCUAAAAUUCAAAUGGAACCAAAAUAGAGCCUGAAUAGCUAAAGCAACCCUAUGAAAAGAGAACAAAGCUGGAGGCAUCACAUUACCUGACUUCAAGCCAUACUAUAAGGCUGUAGUAACCAAAACAGCAUGGUAAUGGUACCAAAGGAGACAGGUAGACCAAUGGAACAGAAUAGAGAACCCAGAGGUAAAGCCUCACAUCUACAGCAAUCUGAUCUUUGACAAAGUUGACAAAGUAUGAUUGCAGGACUACAAACAGAGAACAUUUGCAGAGCCAUAAUUUUCUACCAUACUGAUAGGCCCACUGAUGAACCUUUACAGUCCUCCUCUUUGAGCCAUGCUUCCUGCUUCCGUGGGCCAAGUUUAUGCUUCUGAGCUCCUGACGAGUGCUUCUGCAACUGAUCCACAUGCACAUAGCCAGGUGCCCUAUG
This is a long non-coding RNA of Homo sapiens (human), 807 nucleotides long. The record is from Ensembl. Lineage: Eukaryota; Metazoa; Chordata; Mammalia; Primates; Hominidae.